This 293-nucleotide unclassified non-coding RNA is filed under the name uncultured Cellvibrionales bacterium. RNAcentral's name for it is "contains 16S-23S intergenic spacer region". Lineage: Bacteria; Pseudomonadati; Pseudomonadota; Gammaproteobacteria; Cellvibrionales. The record is from RNAcentral.
UGGGACUACUGGGGUUUCUAAUCCUGUUUGCUCCCCACGCUUUCGCACCUCAGCGUCAGUAUCGAGCCAGGCAGUCGCCUUCGCCACUGAUGUUCCUUCCUAUAUCUACGCAUUUCACCGCUACACAGGAAAUUCCACUACCCUCUCUCGUACUCUAGCCAGCCAGUUCUGAAUGCAGUUCCAAGGUUGAGCCCUGGGCUUUCACAUCCAGCUUAACUAACCGCCUACGCGCGCUUUACGCCCAGUAAUUCCGAUUAACGCUCGCACCCUCCGUAUUACCGCGGCUGCUGGCA